Molecule: ribosomal RNA, 255 nt
Filed under: uncultured bacterium
Lineage: Bacteria
Description: partial 16S ribosomal RNA
Rfam family: Bacterial small subunit ribosomal RNA
Source: RNAcentral
UACGUAGGGUCCGAGCGUUUGUCCGGAAUUACUGGGCGUAAAGAGCUCGUAGGUGGUUUGUCGCGUUGUUCGUGAAAACUCACAGCUUAACUGUGGGCGUGCGGGCGAUACGGGCAGACUUGAGUACUGCAGGGGAGACUGGAAUUCCUGGUGUAGCGGUGGAAUGCGCAGAGUAUCAGGAGGAACACCGGUGGCGAAGGCGGGUCUCUGGGCAAUUCCUGACGCUGAGGCGCGAAAGCGUGGGGAGCAAACGGG